GAUGAACGCUGGCGGCGUGCCUAAUACAUGCAAGUCGAGCGAACAGACGAGGAGCUUGCUCCUCUGACGUUAGCGGCGGACGGGUGAGUAACACGUGGAUAACCUACCUAUAAGACUGGGAUAACUUCGGGAAACCGGAGCUAAUACCGGAUAAUAUAUUGAACCGCAUGGUUCAAUAGUGAAAGACGGUUUUGCUGUCACUUAUAGAUGGAUCCGCGCCGCAUUAGCUAGUUGGUAAGGUAACGGCUUACCAAGGCAACGAUGCGUAGACGACCUGAGAGGGUGGUCGGCCACGCUGGAACUGAGACACGGUCCAGACGCCUACGGGAGGCAGCAGUAGGGAAUCUUCCGCAAUGGGCGAAAGCUUGACGGAGCAACGCCGCGUGAGUGAUGAAGGUCUUCGGAUCGUAAAACUCUGUUAUUGGGGAAGAACAAAUGUGUAAGUAACUAUGCACGUCUUGACGGUACCUAAUCAGAAAGCCACGGCUAACUACGUG
This 497-nucleotide ribosomal RNA is filed under the name uncultured bacterium. RNAcentral's name for it is "partial 16S ribosomal RNA". It matches the Rfam family "Bacterial small subunit ribosomal RNA", at positions 28 to 507 of the family's 1533-position model. The record is from RNAcentral.